Molecule: non-coding RNA, 29 nt
Filed under: Bombyx mori (domestic silkworm)
Lineage: Eukaryota; Metazoa; Arthropoda; Insecta; Lepidoptera; Bombycidae
Source: RNAcentral
UAGAUUGAUAUGGUAUACGGUGUAGCAUC